UGAACGCUGGCGGCAUGCCUUACACAUGCAAGUCGAACGGCAGCACGGGAGCAAUCCUGGUGGCGAGUGGCGAACGGGUGAGUAAUAUAUCGGAACGUGCCCAGUCGUGGGGGAUAACGCAGCGAAAGCUGUGCUAAUACCGCAUACGAUCUCUGGAUGAAAGCGGGGGACUCGCAAGGGCCUCGCGCGAUUGGAGCGGCCGAUAUCAGAUUAGCUAGUCGGCGGGGUAAAGGCCCACCAAGGCGACGAUCUGUAGCUGGUCUGAGAGGACGACCAGCCACACUGGAACUGAGACACGGUCCAGACUCCUACGGGAGGCAGCAGUGGGGAAUUUUGGACAAUGGGCGCAAGCCUGAUCCAGCAAUGCCGCGUGCAGGAUGAAGGCCUUCGGGUUGUAAACUGCUUUUGUACGGAACGAAACGGUCUGCCCUAAUACGGUGGGCUAAUGACGGUACCGUAAGAAUAAGCACCGGCUAACUACGUGCCAGCAGCCGCGGUAAUACGUAGGGUGCGAGCGUUAAUCGGAAUUACUGGGCGUAAAGCGUGCGCAGGCGGUUAUAUAAGACAGAUGUGAAAUCCCCGGGCUCAACCUGGGACCUGCAUUUGUGACUGUAUAGCUAGAGUACGGUAGAGGGGGAUGGAAUUCCGCGUGUAGCAGUGAAAUGCGUAGAUAUGCGGAGGAACACCGAUGGCGAAGGCAAUCCCCUGGACCUGUACUGACGCUCAUGCACGAAAGCGUGGGGAGCA
Molecule: ribosomal RNA, 747 nt
Filed under: uncultured soil bacterium
Lineage: Bacteria
Description: bacterial SSU rRNA
Rfam family: Bacterial small subunit ribosomal RNA
Source: RNAcentral